AUUGAACGCUGGCGGCAUGCCUUACACAUGCAAGUCGAACGGUAGAGGGGGCAACCCCUUGAGAGUGGCGAACGGGUGAGUAAUGCAUCGGAACGUGCCCAGUCGUGGGGGAUAGCCCGGGGAAACCCGGAUUAAUACCGCAUACGACCUGAGGAUGAAAGCGGGGGACCGCAAGGCCUCGCGCGAUUGGAGCGGCCGAUGGCGGAUUAGCUAGUUGGUGGGGUAAAGGCCUACCAAGGCGACGAUCCGUAGCUGGUCUGAGAGGACGACCAGCCACACUGGGACUGAGACACGGCCCAGACUCCUACGGGAGGCAGCAGUGGGGAAUUUUGGACAAUGGGGGCAACCCUGAUCCAGCCAUGCCGCGUGCGGGAAGAAGGCCUUCGGGUUGUAAACCGCUUUUGUCAGGGAAGAAAUCCUUUGGGUUAAUAACCUGGGGGGGUGACGGUACCUGAAGAAUAAGCACCGGCUAACUACGUGCCAGCCGCCGCGGUAA
This 496-nucleotide ribosomal RNA is filed under the name uncultured bacterium. Its description in RNAcentral is "partial 16S ribosomal RNA". It matches the Rfam family "Bacterial small subunit ribosomal RNA", at positions 29 to 523 of the family's 1533-position model. The record is from RNAcentral.